Molecule: ribosomal RNA, 251 nt
Filed under: Enterococcus cecorum
Lineage: Bacteria; Bacillati; Bacillota; Bacilli; Lactobacillales; Enterococcaceae
Description: partial 16S ribosomal RNA
Rfam family: Bacterial small subunit ribosomal RNA
Source: RNAcentral
UUUUAUGAGAGUUUGAUCCUGGCUCAGGACGAACGCUGGCGGCGUGCCUAAUACAUGCAAGUCGAACGCAUUUUCUUUCACCGUAGCUUGCUACACCGGAAGAAAAUGAGUGGCGAACGGGUGAGUAACACGUGGGUAACCUGCCCAUCAGCGGGGGAUAACACUUGGAAACAGGUGCUAAUACCGCAUAAUUCCAUUUACCGCAUGGUAGAUGGAUGAAAGGCGCUUUUGCGUCACUGAUGGAUGGACCC